RNAcentral lists this ribosomal RNA (226 nucleotides) under uncultured bacterium. RNAcentral describes it as "partial 16S ribosomal RNA". It matches the Rfam family "Bacterial small subunit ribosomal RNA", at positions 524 to 746 of the family's 1533-position model. The record is from RNAcentral.
UACGAAGGGUGCAAACGUUGCUCGGAAUUACUGGGCGUAAAGCGUGCGCAGGCGGCUUUGCAAGACAGAUGUGAAAGCCCCGGGCUCAACCUGGGAAUGGCAAUGGAUACUGGCGAGGCUAGAGUGCGGUAGAGGGUAGUGGAAUUCCCGGUGUAGCGGUGAAAUGCGUAGAGAUCGGGAGGAACACCAGUGGCGAAGGCGGCUACCUGGGACCAGCCACUGACAC